This is an RNA transcript of Phacochoerus africanus (Common warthog), 1953 nucleotides long. It is a transcript of the gene named GDP-mannose pyrophosphorylase A, with no coding region annotated. The record is from RefSeq and is a predicted model, not a curated record. NCBI's taxonomy places the organism in Eukaryota, Metazoa, Chordata, Mammalia, Artiodactyla, Suidae. The transcript has 15 exons.
ACACGUGCGCGGAAGGAGCAAGCAGUAGCGGGCCACAAAUCUGGCAAAAGAGAGCUAGUGGUAAAGAGAGCUGGUGGAGGGGUGGUGUAAGGGGUAGAGGGCCGGGCACGGCCGGCUGACAGAGCGACUCUGCUCGCUCUCCGCACUUCCGCUGUGCUGGGUCCCACAACUCCUCGCUACGCGAGGCUAGGGCGUUUGUUAGACAUAGUCAGUUGUGGGGUUCAGAGGGUCAGCAGUCAGUCCAGAGAUUCAGUACUUGUCACUUUCGGUACUCAGGGAGUUGGUAGGUUCGGUGUUUGGGAUGCCAAAGAAAUCCGUCUUUUGAUUCAGAGGUCAUCAUCUAGAGGUUUAGGUAGCAAUCGACAUCAUGCUGAAAGCUGUGAUCCUGAUUGGAGGCCCCCAAAAGGGGACUCGCUUCAGGCCUCUGUCUUUUGAGGUGCCCAAACCCCUGUUUCCUGUGGCGGGGGUCCCUAUGAUUCAGCACCACAUUGAGGCUUGUGCCCAGGUCCCUGGGAUGCAGGAGAUCCUGCUCAUUGGCUUCUACCAACCUGAUGAGCCCCUUACCCGGUUCCUAGAAGCAGCGCAGCAGGAGUUUAACCUUCCAAUCAGGUACCUGCAGGAAUUUGCUCCCCUGGGCACAGGCGGUGGUCUCUACCAUUUCCGGGACCAGAUCCUGGCUGGAAGCCCCGAGGCCUUCUUUGUGCUCAACGCUGAUGUCUGCUCCGACUUCCCCUUGAGCGCCAUGCUGGAUGCCCACAGACACCGGCCUCACCCCUUCUUGCUCCUUGGCACCACGGCUAACAGGACACAAUCCCUCAACUACGGCUGCAUCGUAGAGAAUCCACAAACGCAUGAGGUCCUGCACUAUGUGGAGAAACCCAGCACGUUUGUCAGUGACAUCAUCAACUGUGGCAUCUACCUCUUUUCCCCAGAAGCCCUGAAGCCCCUCGGGGAAGUCUUCCAGCGUAAUCAGCAGGAUGGGCAACUCUGCCUUCCUCUGGGGGAGGACUCUUCAGUCUUGUGGCCAGGGGCAGGGACCAUCCGCCUGGAGCAGGAUGUGUUCGCAGCCCUGGCUGGGCAGGGCCAGAUCUACGUGCACCUCACCGAUGGUAUCUGGAGCCAGAUCAAGUCCGCGGGCUCAGCCCUCUACGCCUCUCGCCUCUAUCUGAGCCAGUACCAGCUCACUCACCCAGAACGCCUGGCCAAGCACACCCCAGGGGGUCCACGGAUUCGAGGAAAUGUUUACAUCCACCCGACAGCUAAGGUGGCCCCAUCGGCUGUGCUGGGCCCCAACGUCUCCAUCGGAGAGGGGGUGACUGUGGGCGAGGGUGUGCGGCUCCGAGAGAGCAUUGUCCUCCAUGGGGCCACGCUGCAGGAGCACACGUGUGUCCUACACAGCAUCGUAGGCUGGGGCAGCACGGUGGGGCGCUGGGCCCGCGUGGAAGGUACCCCCAAUGACCCCAAUCCCAACGACCCCCGAGCCCACAUGGACAGUGAGAGCCUCUUCAAGGAUGGGAAGCUUCUGCCCGCUAUCACCAUCCUAGGCUGCCGCGUCCGGAUCCCUGCUGAGGUGCUCAUCCUGAACUCGAUUGUUCUGCCACACAAGGAGCUGAGCCGCAGCUUCACCAACCAGAUCAUCCUCUGAAGGGGCUGCCAGGAGGCCCCCCCCCGCCUUCCUCUCCUGUCCGCACCCCUUGAGGCUUCUGCCUGCAAGGCCAGCCUCUGUCCAGGAGGGACUGGAGGAAGCCAGGCAGGCUCUUCACAUCGUGGGGAGCAACAUGGGUGGCCGGGGGCCUCCCUCGCCACUCCCUAAUAAACCUGGCCUCCCUCCCUAGUGUCUCCAGCUGCCCCUCGAUCUUGGACCUGGUCCCCUUCAAUAUUAGUGACCCACCGCCUCGGCUUGGGCAUCCCUGAAACGAGACGCAGGGUCGUGAGUACCAGCCACAGGAAAGG